AAUUAGAGAGGAGAGAUAGAGAGAGAGAGAGUGAGAGAGAGAAAGAGAGAGUUGUUAUUUAUUUCGUGUAGAAUAGUUGGAGCAACAACAAUCUUCUUAUAAAAUGAUAGGGAUCCCCUUUAUAUAGAAGGAGGGAUCUAAACAUAGUACCGACUGCAUUAAUUGUACAAGUAUAGAGAUGGGAUGGCUAGAUAUGACACCAGGCUCUGCAUUGCUACCUGUACACAUUGGGAACUACCCAUCGCCCGCAUUGUCAUUUGAUCAGGCGUAAGUGGAUAUGGAGGGAGGAAACUCGACUGCUACCUUUCUGCCUCGAGAUCUCGAGUUGAUUUCCCGAAACACCUUAAUGACGAGAGAUUGGACCCUCUGAUUUCACUUUGUACAACCUCCUAAUCAUGCAUGAGUUUAAUAUGAAGAUCUAACUAACAUCAGCAGAUGCUUACAUAUCAGUCAUUAGUUCGAUAAAACAAUUAACAAAAUUAUAGAGAAGCAUAAAAGAUAUGAGAGUACACUCAAAUAUCAUGACCAUAAACCAACAUCAUAAUAGUAAUAUGAUUUUUAUCCACAAUAGUUUUAUACUCUAUAGGAUUAAAUGAACCAAUAUAAGAGAUGAAUGAUGUUCAAGAUAGGGAGACUCUAUACUAUGCAAGUUUAUAUCAACUAUACAGAUUAAGAAGUGGUAGUCUAAAUAUGAUGGGGUUCCAUUGAAAUUACUGACCUAAUAAUAAUACUCAGCCAUAGCAGAUAUUAUUAUAGCCUAAUUCAUAAAAGAUGACUUGAUCAGGACAAAAUAGAAACUGAAAUAGUUACUGAAGUUCAUCAGUGAGUUGGCCUAGUUACCUUAAUGAGAUUGUUUCAUAUAAUAAGUCUCACAUAUGUGAUUAAUAGUUAAAUAUGAACACAAGACUUUCAUAGAAAUAACUCAAAGGCUACUUCAGACUAAUAAACACUCUUGUGAAGAAAGUAAAUACCUUAAACAUUUAAACUUGACAUACUUCGACUAAGUAGUAAACGAUUAAAGCAUGAGUAUUUAUAUCCAUAUUUUUUAAAAUCAUCAAAUAACAACUUCAUGUACAGACUAUACUAAACAGGAUUAGUGUGACAGGCAUGAAGAACUCAACAGAUUAUUAGAGAGAUCUGAAUAUAGGAAACUGUCAAGGCAGAUUAAACAAAUUUAUUGUAUAAGAUGUUCGAUUCAGAAUAACAGUCAUCGAGGUCACAUAAUGACUCAAUCAAACUGAUGUAUGACACAAAAAAGUAUAAUAGCCAACCAUAAAUUAGUAGCAAAUCAUUAUGAGCAGGAACAAAUAGUUAUAAUCUAAUGAAAACUAUCAUAAACUAAUGUAGUCGAUAUAAUGACAACAGUGUAUUUAGCAUUUUGGAUCAAAAAUCAAAUGAGAAAGAGUGGAGGUAUACUGAUCUCCUUUUGUGCAACAGAUCAACUUAGCUAUGCAAGAAACAGAGCUUCAAGCUUUGAGCAGUGAACUAGGAAUCAAAAGAGAAAAAUAGAAAUCAAUAAGAGAUCCCGACUUAGAAUAUUAGUGUGGUUUUAAUACUCUUAUUAUGGUUUCUUAGCUCUUAUUAGGACCUUUACGUGAGAGCACUGAAGGCUCUAUUUAUAGUGGCAUUUAAUGCUUUGGGUUACUUAUUCAGACUAGGUAGUGGAAGAUGACGGAGGGUAUAUGAUGUGAGAAAAAUUGAGUGAGAUUAAAGACGACAAAUGUGAGAACAAUGAUAGCUUUUACCUGAGGGAAGAACACUAUGCGUUGCAAGCAAAAUCAUUAGAUAAAAAUACCAAUGUCCAGAAGAAUCUAUGUUUGGCCUCUAGACCUAGAAUAAUGAUGAUGACACUAUAAAAUGGUCAUGGAUGCCACUAAUUUUGAUAGACCAUAAGGAAUCUCGGAGGAUUCGACCUUUAAACAAUUGGUCUAGGGUUUUGAAUUUUGACUUGAGAUAAAGCGAGUAAUUCUGUGACUUUGGACUUAUGAGAACAAAGAUGAAAUUGUGUUUCGAUACUACGGUUAACGUUCAGUUGCUUCAAUUUGAUGAAAAAAAGGGAAAUACCAACCGGAUUCUUGUAUUCCGGAGCCAGAUAGGUGACUUGAUGAAAGAUCUCAUGACCUUGUACUUAUUUGUGAAAGUUCCGUUGAUUGAUGUUCAUAAGGGAUUUUAAAGCAGAGAGAAAGAAAGGGAAAUGGGGGCGAUUAUAUGAGAUAAGAAUGAGAGAGUUGAUCUGGGCCGUUAAUCUUUCAGAUCAACGGUCCUGGUAUUUAGGGAUUAAACUAAU
Molecule: long non-coding RNA, 2287 nt
Filed under: Nicotiana benthamiana
Lineage: Eukaryota; Viridiplantae; Streptophyta; Magnoliopsida; Solanales; Solanaceae
Description: long non-coding RNA (NBEN_LNC008197)
Source: RNAcentral